GAUGAACGCUGGCGGCGUGCCUAAUACAUGCAAGUCAAGCGAACAGAUGAGGAGCUUGCUCCUCUGACGUUAGCGGCGGACGGGUGAGUAACACGUGGAUAACCUACCUAUAAGACUGGGAUAACUUCGGGAAACCGGAGCUAAUACCGGAUAAUAUAUUGAACCGCAUGGUUCAAUAGUGGAAGACGGUUUUGCUGUCACUUAUAGAUGGAUCCGCGCCGCAUUAGCUAGUUGGUAAGGUAACGGCUUACCAAGGCAACGAUGCGUAGCCGACCUGAGAGGGUGAUCGGCCACACUGGAACUGAGACACGGUCCAGACUCCUACGGGAGGCAGCAGUAGGGAAUCUUCCGCAAUGGGCGAAAGCCUGACGGAGCAACGCCGCGUGAGUGAUGAAGGUCUUCGGAUCGUAAAACUCUGUUAUUAGGGAAGAACAAAUGUGUAAGUAACUAUGCACGUCUUGACGGUACCUAAUCAGAAAGCCACGGCUAACUACGUG
RNAcentral lists this ribosomal RNA (497 nucleotides) under uncultured bacterium. RNAcentral's name for it is "partial 16S ribosomal RNA". It matches the Rfam family "Bacterial small subunit ribosomal RNA", at positions 28 to 507 of the family's 1533-position model. The record is from RNAcentral.